Molecule: small RNA, 349 nt
Filed under: human gut metagenome
Description: transfer-messenger RNA
Rfam family: transfer-messenger RNA
About the family: Bacterial tmRNA, also known as 10Sa RNA or SsrA, is named for its dual tRNA and mRNA-like properties. Its role is to liberate the mRNA from a stalled ribosome.
Source: RNAcentral
GGGGGCGUAACUGGUUUCGACGGGAAAGAUUUUGAGGGGAAAAGCGUGUGGCAGCCGGUUGCCAUAAAACGGAAAACAAAAUAAACGCAGAUAAUAGAAAUCUUGCUGUUGCUGCUUAGUUAGCGCAACUGUCCUUAGCAAAAAUUCCUGCAUUUUUGCCAAAGGGCAUCAAACUUUCGCAGGGAACUUCAAAAGCUUCGCCUUAAAGUUUUUGAAAGAAAAAACAAGGAUUUGCUUUAAACAAGUUUUGUUCGUUACUUAUUUAAAGCAAAAUUGAAACGAACUACACACGUAGAAAAGCCACUGCAAACUUUUUCGGACGUGGGUUCAACUCCCACCGCUUCCACCA